UAGAACUUCAUGUUUUCUAUGUCUUCACUGAUAGAUCUCACUGGUGUAUGCGGAGAAUUUGCAAAGCUAAGGACAGAAAAUGACAAAUUCAUAAAGUCAUAGAUAUACCAAAUUGAUUGUUACAAAGGGUCUAAAAAGAAGAAGAAGAAGAAGAAGAAGGUACAACAAGAAGAAUGAAAACAGAAACGAACAAACUAAAGCUACUGGCUACAGGCUGCCCGUUGAAUAAUCUUCAUCAAUCAUUCGACCAUUGACUGAUGAUGAUCCUGGGUAAGCAGCUUAUUCCUCCCAAUCUUGUUGUGGGUGAAUGCAUGACCGAUGCCGGGGCGCUGUACAUCUACGGGCAUCCAUUAUGAGGAUCACCGCUUCGACACGAAUGCCCUGCUGCUCCUGUUUUUUCCUCCUCCAAGGACAGCAGCAGCCUCGGCCAAAUUGUUGGUGGAGAUGCGGGUAUCGCUUCAUUGUUGAUGGAGAUGUUCCUGGCCGUGGCAGCCUGCUGUGCUCCCGCUGGCAACGGCCGCGCCACGGCACGCGUGGUCAUCAAGAACGAAGUGACCACGAGAACCAUGAGCAUCGCCGCCAUAACCUUUCUCACUAUAGUAUUUACUGAAAGUUCCAUAUGGCUAGUGUAUGGAGAAUAAUCUACGAUGAGAUCGAUUCAGCUAGCUCGAAGGAGAAGGUGAUGAAACUAAACAGCUGAAGAAUCGAUAGAGAACUAAUCAGAUGGGUUUACUUCAAGUUACCUUGCCU
RNAcentral lists this long non-coding RNA (750 nucleotides) under Sorghum bicolor (sorghum). RNAcentral describes it as "long non-coding RNA (SBIC_LNC001546)". Lineage: Eukaryota; Viridiplantae; Streptophyta; Magnoliopsida; Poales; Poaceae. The record is from RNAcentral.